GUUAAGAAUAACUCUAUGAAUUCUCUAUAUGCUUGAUUGAGAGCUUUUAUCCAUGGAAUUAUUGUUUAUUGAUCAUAGAUAUGAUAAUGUGUACUUGGUAUGCUUUUGAAUAUAUGCACUAUGAAUACCAAGAUUAAAGAAACCAUCUUUGGCAUAUAAAAUCAACUCAUGCUAGUAUGUACUUAAUCUCAAAAGACCUUGUCAUUGGCUUACUUAGAUUAUCUUCUGAAAGGUCAAAGUUUACUAUGCAUGCUAACUAAGGAAACAAACAAAAAUCAAUUUCUAAAUCUAAAGAUGUUGUUUCCAUCACCAAGUUUUCAAAAGCUUACAUUGGAUGUGUUCUUGGC
RNAcentral lists this long non-coding RNA (347 nucleotides) under Phoenix dactylifera (date palm). RNAcentral's name for it is "long non-coding RNA (PDAC_LNC020166)". The record is from RNAcentral. Lineage: Eukaryota; Viridiplantae; Streptophyta; Magnoliopsida; Arecales; Arecaceae.